GUGGUGGUAGCGUAGUGGCUAAGGAGCUGGGCUAGCAUGCCAUAGGUAGAAAAGUUGUGGGUUCAAUUCACGGCUUCCACA
Molecule: transfer RNA, 81 nt
Filed under: Alosa alosa (allis shad)
Lineage: Eukaryota; Metazoa; Chordata; Actinopteri; Clupeiformes; Clupeidae
Description: tRNA-OTHER
Source: RNAcentral